Molecule: ribosomal RNA, 253 nt
Filed under: uncultured bacterium
Lineage: Bacteria
Description: partial 16S ribosomal RNA
Rfam family: Bacterial small subunit ribosomal RNA
Source: RNAcentral
UACGGGGGGGGCAAGCGUUGUUCGGAAUUACUGGGCGUAAAGGGCUCGUAGGUGGCCAACUAAGUCAGACGUGAAAUCCCUCGGCUCAACCUGGGAACGGCAUUGGAAACUGGCUUACUAGAGUGCGGUAGAGGGGUGUGGAAUUCCCGGUGUAGCGGUGAAAUGCGUAGAUAUCCGAAGGAACAUCAGUGGCGAAAGCGGCUUCCUGGACCAGAACUGACGAUCAGGCACGAAAGCGUGGGGAGCAAACAGG